GACGAACGCUGGCGGCGUGCUUAACACAUGCAAGUCGAACGGAAAGGCCCUGCUUUUGUGGGGUGCUCGAGUGGCGAACGGGUGAGUAACACGUGAGUAACCUGCCCUUGACUUUGGGAUAACUUCAGGAAACUGGGGCUAAUACCGGAUAGGAGCUCCUGCUGCAUGGUGGGGGUUGGAAAGUUUCGGCGGUUGGGGAUGGACUCGCGGCUUAUCAGCUUGUUGGUGGGGUAGUGGCUUACCAAGGCUUUGACGGGUAGCCGGCCUGCGAGGGUGACCGGCCACAUUGGGACUGAGAUACGGCCCAGACUACUACGGGAGGCAGCAGUGGGGAAUAUUGCACAAUGGGCGGAAGCCUGAUGCAGCAACGCCGCGUGCGGGAUGACGGCCUUCGGGUUGUAAACCGCUUUCGCCUGUGACGAAGCGUGAGUGACGGUAAUGGGUAAAGAAGCACCGGCUAACUACGUG
RNAcentral lists this ribosomal RNA (468 nucleotides) under uncultured bacterium. RNAcentral's name for it is "partial 16S ribosomal RNA". It matches the Rfam family "Bacterial small subunit ribosomal RNA", at positions 28 to 507 of the family's 1533-position model. The record is from RNAcentral.